UCAAGCUUAACUCAUUCGCCCCCAAUCUCGCCUGUAGUCGUGAUAAAUAUAUACCACUCACAGGCCGAUUACGACUACAGUCUGGUUUGUUUGCCUAGUUCAAUGGCCGAUCCCGUCUGUACUCGUGGUCGACACCACUCUGAAAAAACCGCUCCGAUUGGUUAUUUCUUAGGGGAUUUCCAGAAUUUAAAGAAUACUGUCCAAAAGAAAAGGGUUUAACAAUUCAUUGUGUGAAAUUUAUUUAUUCUAAGUGCAAAGGUUAUGCCGUAUUUAGACAUUCUUGUUACACGUAUGUACGCACCGUUUUCAAUAAAAAUGUUAAAACAAUGGCUGAAAUUUUCGAUAGUAGCGAGAGUGAAAGUGAGUUUAAUGGCUUUGAAUUACGUGAUAUAAAUGCUGCAAAAGAAAGAUAUUUG
Molecule: long non-coding RNA, 416 nt
Filed under: Mytilus galloprovincialis (Mediterranean mussel)
Lineage: Eukaryota; Metazoa; Mollusca; Bivalvia; Mytilida; Mytilidae
Source: RNAcentral